Molecule: long non-coding RNA, 534 nt
Organism: Rosa chinensis
Lineage: Eukaryota; Viridiplantae; Streptophyta; Magnoliopsida; Rosales; Rosaceae
Exons: 3
Source: RefSeq, a predicted model, not a curated record
ACAUGAUUUUGAAUAGUCGACACCACUUUUGAUUUUGAUUAGGAGGCAGAAGAUGAACCUACCAAUCAAGUUUGAUCCACAUAGAAAAAUUGGGAGAAGAAAACAUUUCGGAAUCGUAUCACCAUUAAUCAUCUUGAAGACUGCCCAAGGGUAGACAGAAUUCAACUUUCUUAUUGCUGUUCAGCUAUGGACAGCUGUGGAAUAAUAGCUAAGGUUGAGGGCGAGAAUAAGGCUUCAAUUGAUAAGUUACCGUCUUGUAUUUUGUCACACAUACUUUCAUUUUUACCAAUAAAAGAUGCUGUGGAUACUUUGCAUGUUAUCCCAGCAGUGGAGACACCUUUGGAAGCAUCCAAUACUGACAACGCCCAAUCUUGAUUCUUGAGUUUGACAUUCUAAACAUUUUUGGAUACAAUUAUGCUCAGCUCGUUAAAGAAUGUGGAGCAUACAAAUUUAAUAUGCGUCAACUCGAGAGACAAAGCUCUGUGUUUGUGAGACGUGUGAAUGAAAUAUUGCUGCUCUACAAUCGUAAGAAGG